RNAcentral lists this small RNA (80 nucleotides) under Olleya sp. Hel_I_94. RNAcentral's name for it is "Flavo-1 RNA". Lineage: Bacteria; Pseudomonadati; Bacteroidota; Flavobacteriia; Flavobacteriales; Flavobacteriaceae. The record is from RNAcentral.
UUGCGUUAGCGGUAGUAGUGGAUAGCUUUUGGCGAGCUUGCGCUUUGAGCCAAAACUUGUAACGGAUGACGCGACCUAUA